RNAcentral lists this long non-coding RNA (1329 nucleotides) under Cricetulus griseus (Chinese hamster). RNAcentral's name for it is "lncRNA (ENSCGRG00015038564.1)". The record is from RNAcentral. Lineage: Eukaryota; Metazoa; Chordata; Mammalia; Rodentia; Cricetidae.
CCCUUGUCUCGAGUUCGUGUGUGCUUGUGUGUGUGUGUGUGUGUGUGUGUGUGUGCGCGCGCGCGCGCACGCGCUCGCGAGUGCGUGCCCUUGUGUGUGCGUGUGUCCUGUUUACCUGUAUGUCUGAGAUGGAGUCUCACCAUGUAGCCCAGGCUAGCCAAACCCUUAGCAAUUUUCCUUCUUCCUAAGUGCUGUGAUCACAGAUGCUCCCCACUAUGUCCAGCUGUGACACUGUUUGCUUUGAUUCUUUUAUUUGGGGAGCAGUAAGGUCUCCUGGCGCCCAGGUUGACUUCGAACCGUCAAUGUGUUUGAAAAUGACCCCAACCUUCUGAUCCUCCUGCGUCCACCAUCUGAAUGUCCAGACUGCAGCCCCAACAGAUACAAUUACAACACACAACUCCUGCACAUAAGGCUCAGGCAAUGUCUUGGGAGAAAGCAGAAGGACUGUGAUAGUCAAAGGACCAGGAAAUCUGCUGUGAGAUUGUGUCUUCUAGCUGUGACAUGAAGCUAUACCUGAGGCCUCAACAGCAUGGCUGCCUAAACAAGACCAGAACAAUUUCUACACCAGCUGACAUCCUAAAGUAGAUGGAGAAAUCUCAGAGGCCGAAAGCCCUAGAUGAAGAGCCACAGCCAACUAACAACUUGGGAGAGAGGGAGAACUAGUCUCCAGGGACGAUCCCCUGAUUGGUUAUCCAGUAGCAGCAAGUGGUCAGCCUUGGAUACACAGGCAUGCAGCCACACUGCCCAAACUCCAAAGGAAUGGAAUAGAGAGCUGGAGAGACGAAUCAGCAGUUAACAGCACCGGCUGCACUUUCAGAGAACAAGAGUUUGCUCCCAGCACCUGACGGCAUGUAACACAGCUCCGGAUUGAGGGAACAAAUAUUAAAAUUAAUAAAAGUUUAAAAAUUUAGGCCCUGAAAAGGGAGCGUGUAAUGGAAAAGGAAAAAUUUAACUCUUUAAAUCAGGAGUGCCAUGGCUGGCGCCUGAUCCCCUGCUCUCAGACAAGGAGAGGUAACUGUUCACCACUCUUGUUAACAUUCCUUUGCUAAUUGCUGGUCAAAAGAUCCCCCAGCCCAGGGGAUAACUGACAGACCUUGUGACCCUGUAACCCUGCAAGCCCAUGCCCUGUCUUAUCUCAGUCAAACGUAUCUCCCUUAAAAUGUAUAGUUACUAACUCUGUACUUGGUAUGACCUUAAUUAACCAUGGAAACUGUAAUUUGUGGCCUUCAACCUUACGGUCUGCCACUUUAAAAGCUUCUCUUUUUGGCUGGGUGGCAUCUCAUUUGCCCGCCAUGCAGUGAGAUCCUAGCUGGCCAGCUUGAAAUAAAA